AUGUGCACACACACCUGCAUGCUCUAAAUGAUCUGCCUGGGGAAAUGUAUAAAUAUGCCUGAGGGAAAAUUAAAAAUAAAAGAUUUGUUUAGGUUUUUCAUUAUUGUAGGCAAUCAUGUCCACAUCACUUACAAAGCUAUUGCUGAAUCUGUCCAAGAAAGCAGAAUUUGGAAGGAGCAACAGUGGCAUAGCAGAGCUUUCAAUAUGAGAAAGCUAACAUUAUGUGGACUUUUGCUGUGAAAUUUGUCUUUGCAAAAUAUGGGAGGAAGUUUUUUGAUGGACAGAAAAUAAGAGGAAGCAGUGUGAAUUAGAAGCUUCCACAGAGUCAAUUUCAAGAAAAAUGCUUAGUCCUUCUCUGGAACCAGUUUCAGAACUUUUCCAAUUGCAAUGGUCUUCCCCUCAUCUCUUAAAGUAAAACGACCCAUCUGAGGGAAAUCUUUGAAGGUCUCAAGGCAGAUGGUUCCUGCUGUUCUUAAACGGGCAAUGCAUACUUGAUCUUGUUUGACAAAACGUGGUCGUGUCUUACUUUUUUCUCCUGUUUUUUUGUCUACCAAGCAGAUUAAGGCUGUUAUCUCUACUUCUUCAAUACAGGUAUGAAUGUGCAGCACCGCAUUAUAACCUGGGCAGAUGAUAGAUUUGUGCUCAAUAAUCACUAUCUGAGCAUCAAACGUGUGUCCAAAAUGACAGAGAUUUUUAGGUUCACAAAGUAUGAAUCCUGGAAGUAUUUCUUCUUCUUCAAUUCCCUUCAGUCUAAUCUUGAGGUUUUCCCCUGGGGCUGCAGAAUCCAUUUCUACAUCAUCAGAAAGGAUUCCAAGAACUUCCACAUUGUGCUUGUUUGGCAUCAUCACAAACUGCUGUCCUUUACAGAUAGAGCCCGAUUCCAACUUUCCCAGGACCACAGUGCCCAUGUCCUUGUAUUUAUCCACGAUUGGCAGCCUAACUGGUCCAUCAAGUGAUCUGUUGAAGUUUGGCAAAUCAUCCAGAUAUUGAACAAAUGGUAACCCCUCAUACCAAGGACAGCAAUCUGACGGCUCUUUAAGGUUUGCACCUGUCAGCCCUGAGCAGGGCAUGAAGUGUAUAUCCUUUUUGGGACUGAAGCCAACUUUUUUCAAAAAUGGCAGCAACUUUUCUUUGCAUUCUUCAUAUCUCUUAUUGCUCCAAUUUACUGUUGGGUCAUCCAUCUUGUUCACAAGCACUAUCAAGUGCUUUACACCUGCUGUUUUUGCCAACAUGGCAUGUUCCCUUGUCUGUCCUCCUUUUUCAAAUCCAGUUUCAAACUCUCCCUUCCGAGCAGAGAUGACCAGCACGGCCAGAUCGGCUUGAGAAGCGCCACCAAUCAUGUGUGGGACAAAACUCUUGUGCCCGGGGGCGUCCAGGAUGGUGAAGUGCUUUUUUUCUGUCUCAAAGUAGGCUCGGCCCACCUCCACAGUUUUACCUUUGUCUCGUUCUUCCUGAUUUGUAUCCAAGGCCCAGGACAAGUACCAAGUUUCUCUGUUUUUUUCCUUAGCUUCUCGUUGAUAUUUUUCAAGUGUUCUUUUGUCAACCAUCCCCGUCAAAUACAUGAUUUGUCCUCCAAUGGUUGAUUUGCCAGCAUCCACAUGCCCAAUGAAUACGACGUUUACAUGUUCUUUUUUUGAUGCAGCUGCUGGUGCCACCACAGAUUUGCGUUUUGGUAUUUUUCCCUCCUUCUCCACCACCAUUUCUGGCGCGCCCGCCUCUGGCGGUCCUCUGUCUCCCAAAGAGCCUUCCCCCGGUUCUGCUCCACUCGGUCCUGCUCCACUCGGUCCUUCUUUGUGCUCCCAUGAUUCUUCUGGAGACAGCUCGGUCUCUCCACUUUUUAGAACAGGUCCUGAACCUUCCAUGCUGAGCGCUGACUUUGAACCUGCAUACGACACUGUCUGCUCUUGAGAACGUUCCACAGGUGCCUCGGGGCCAGCAGGGCCUCCUGCUCCGGAGCCGUCUCCCCGGGCGGCGGUGGGGGCGGCGGCUGGGGGCAGCGAUGGCAGCGGCUGCCGAACCGGGCCCCGCAAGGAGGACUGCACGAACCGAAGCGCGGACGGUGAGCUGGCCGCGCAAGGCCGCGCUGAGGUUCUGGGCCUCGGCCGCGGCGGCAGGAGGAGCGCCGAUGGCCCGGGACUUCUGUG
RNAcentral lists this long non-coding RNA (2144 nucleotides) under Sarcophilus harrisii (Tasmanian devil). RNAcentral describes it as "lncRNA (ENSSHAG00000022595.1)". The record is from RNAcentral. Lineage: Eukaryota; Metazoa; Chordata; Mammalia; Dasyuromorphia; Dasyuridae.